GAACGGCAGCGCGGGAGCAAUCCUGGCGGCGAGUGGCGAACGGGUGAGUAAUACAUCGGAACGUGCCCAAUCGUGGGGGAUAACGCAGCGAAAGCUGUGCUAAUACCGCAUACGAUCUACGGAUGAAAGCAGGGGAUCGCAAGACCUUGCGCGAAUGGAGCGGCCGAUGGCAGAUUAGGUAGUUGGUGAGGUAAAGGCUCACCAAGCCUUCGAUCUGUAGCUGGUCUGAGAGGACGACCAGCCACACUGGGACUGAGACACGGCCCAGACUCCUACGGGAGGCAGCAGUGGGGAAUUUUGGACAAUGGGCGAAAGCCUGAUCCAGCCAUGCCGCGUGCAGGAUGAAGGCCUUCGGGUUGUAAACUGCUUUUGUACGGAACGAAACGGCCUUUUCUAAUAAAGAGGGCUAAUGACGGUACCGUAAGAAUAAGCACCGGCUAACUACGUG
RNAcentral lists this ribosomal RNA (448 nucleotides) under uncultured bacterium. RNAcentral's name for it is "bacterial SSU rRNA". It matches the Rfam family "Bacterial small subunit ribosomal RNA", at positions 64 to 507 of the family's 1533-position model. The record is from RNAcentral.